This 1300-nucleotide long non-coding RNA is filed under the name Homo sapiens (human). Its description in RNAcentral is "HSALNT0324447". The record is from RNAcentral. Lineage: Eukaryota; Metazoa; Chordata; Mammalia; Primates; Hominidae.
GCAGCUUUCAAAGACAGCUAUGAGGGGGAAUUCUCUCAGUGUGCAGGGCUUCACGCACUACACUUGGUCAUCAAAUUCAUGUUGAAAGAGAUGCAGCCUCAGCCUCAGUUUGGAAUAUACACAGACGGGUAGGUGCUGAAGGGCACAGACAGAUCAUCAGAGGCCUAGUGGGAGAGAAAUUAGGAGAUCAUAGACAAGGAUAUCUGGAGUAGUGUUGUGUAGAUGACACUAUGGGAGAAGACACAAUGUGGGAAGAUCUUUCAGUUGCAGGUUAACACCUACCAGAAAUCAUCUAUUUUGGAAGAGGCACUAGACAGCCAAGUAGAUGGACUGACUCAGCCACUUGAUGCCAGCCAGUUUCUGUCAUUGGCCAUUCCAGUGCUGCUGAAAUGAACACAUGAAAAGAGUAGCUUUAGUGUCAGAGAUGUUAGGUUAUGCUCGGGCCCAACAGCAUGGGCUCCCAUUCAUCAAAGCUGGUCUAGCUCCAGGUGCUGCCGAACAGCAAACUUGCCAGUAACAAAGAUGACAUCUUCAUCCCCAAUAUUGCAUCAUUUCUUCAGGAGAUCAUCCCAUCACUAAGCGGCAAGUUCACCACAGUCUACUUCUUUCAUCUUGCCAGGGUCAGUGGUUCAUUUUUGACAGUAACAAAUUCUGAACAUGAAUUUGCUUUUUCUGUCCCCAUGGUUUCAGGCAACACUGUUAUCUGAAUGCUUGCAGAGUGUCAGAUCCAACAACAGCAAUUUCACUUAUAAUUAUGUCAGGCAGAGGGACAAACCUUAAAACCAAGCAGGUCCAUCAGUGGGUCCAUAAUGACAGGAUCUGCUGGUCAUAUCACAAGCCACACCACUCUAUUGCAUCAACCUGAUAGAGUGCUGAAACAGCCUGUUGAAACACAACGGAGGUGUAGGCCCAGACAUGCUUCCCUGUGAGAAUGAGACAGCACUCUCCAGGACAUAGCAUCUAUCCUGAAUCAAUGAGCAUUCGCGGGCUCUGGGUUCCCGAUAAACAGAAUACAUAGAUGAGAAACCAAAGUCUAGAAGCAAGAGUGGCCUCUGUUACCAACAUUCCCAGUGACCCACUGGAGAAUUUGUGCUUCUUGUUCCUGCAACUCUGGGGUCUGUGGGUUUAAAGAUCUUGGUUCCCAAAGGAAGAACAUUUCUGCCAUGAACACAUCAUCAUUUCCCUUGAAUCUAAGCUGUGGUAGCUUCCUGGACACAUUAAAUUUCUCAUGGCAAAGGACAAAAGGACAAGAAAAGCAGUCACCAUCCUAACAGAGCAAGCAGCACAAAGUACUAUGUUG